This 496-nucleotide ribosomal RNA is filed under the name uncultured bacterium. RNAcentral describes it as "partial 16S ribosomal RNA". It matches the Rfam family "Bacterial small subunit ribosomal RNA", at positions 28 to 506 of the family's 1533-position model. The record is from RNAcentral.
GAUGAACGCUGGCGGCGUGCCUAAUACAUGCAAGUCGAACGCAUAGCGAAAGGUGCUUGCACCUUUCAAGUGAGUGGCGAACGGGUGAGUAACACGUGGACAACCUGCCUCAAGGCUGGGGAUAACAUUUGGAAACAGAUGCUAAUACCGAAUAAAACUUAGUGUCGCAUGACACAAAGUUAAAAGGCGCUUCGGCGUCACCUAGAGAUGGAUCCGCGGUGCAUUAGUUAGUUGGUGGGGUAAAGGCCUACCAAGACAAUGAUGCAUAGCCGAGUUGAGAGACUGAUCGGCCACAUUGGGACUGAGACACGGCCCAAACUCCUACGGGAGGCUGCAGUAGGGAAUCUUCCACAAUGGGCGAAAGCCUGAUGGAGCAACGCCGCGUGUGUGAUGAAGGCUUUCGGGUCGUAAAGCACUGUUGUAUGGGAAGAACAGCUAGAAUAGGAAAUGAUUUUAGUUGGACGGUACCAUACCAGAAAGGGACGGCUAAAUACGU